RNAcentral lists this ribosomal RNA (396 nucleotides) under uncultured bacterium. RNAcentral's name for it is "bacterial SSU rRNA". It matches the Rfam family "Bacterial small subunit ribosomal RNA", at positions 28 to 414 of the family's 1533-position model. The record is from RNAcentral.
GAUGAACGCUAGCGAUAGGCCUAACACAUGCAAGUCGAGGGGCAUCACAUGAAGUAGCAAUACGGAUGGUGGCGACCGGCGCACGGGUGAGUAACACGUAUGCAACCUGCCUUCAACAAGGGGAUAACCCGUUGAAAGACGGACUAAUACCCUAUAACACAGGGGUCCCGCAUGGGAAUAUUUGUUAAAGGACAACCGGUUGAAGAUGGGCAUGCGUUCCAUUAGCUAGUUGGCGGGGUAACGGCCCACCAAGGCAACGAUGGAUAGGGGAACUGAGAGGUUUAUCCCCCACACUGGUACUGAGACACGGACCAGACUCCUACGGGAGGGCAGCAGUGAGGAAUAUUGGUCAAUGGACGCAAGUCUGAACCAGCCACGUCGCGUGAAGGAAGACGG